AUUGAACGCUGGCGGCAUGCUUUACACAUGCAAGUCGAACGGCAGCGCGGGCUUCGGCCUGGCGGCGAGUGGCGAAUGGGUGAGUAAUGCAUCGGAACGUGCCCAGUAGUGGGGGAUAGCCCGGCGAAAGCCGGAUUAAUACCGCAUACGACCUGAGGGUGAAGGCGGGGGACCGAAAGGCCUCGCGCUAUUGGAGCGGCCGAUGUCGGAUUAGCUAGUUGGUGGGGUAAAGGCUUACCAAGGCGACGAUCCGUAGCUGGUCUGAGAGGACGACCAGCCACACUGGGACUGAGACACGGCCCAGACUCCUACGGGAGGCAGCAGUGGGGAAUUUUGGACAAUGGGGGCAACCCUGAUCCAGCCAUGCCGCGUGCGGGAAGAAGGCCUUCGGGUUGUAAACCGCUUUUGUUCGGGAAGAAAUACUCUGGGCUAAUACCCCGGGGGGAUGACGGUACCGGAAGAAUAAGCACCGGCUAACUACGUG
Molecule: ribosomal RNA, 484 nt
Filed under: uncultured bacterium
Lineage: Bacteria
Description: partial 16S ribosomal RNA
Rfam family: Bacterial small subunit ribosomal RNA
Source: RNAcentral